Non-coding RNA from Punica granatum (pomegranate), 1322 nucleotides. Lineage: Eukaryota; Viridiplantae; Streptophyta; Magnoliopsida; Myrtales; Lythraceae. The record is from RefSeq and is a predicted model, not a curated record.
CCUGUCGCGGCCUCAGUUUCAAGCGAAGAAGAAAAUGGCAGAAACGUCGUCUUCCGUGGCCGAUACUCCCGCUUCACCGGCGCCGGAGGAAAAAUCCGACGGCAGUGCUCUUAGCAGUACUACCAAAUCAAUAGCGGAGAUAGCGGAGGAUGUUCAACGCACGGUCAUGGAGUCGAGGGACUCCGCCAUUCGAUCUGCUCGCAGUCUCCAGCAGAACUCCUCCACUCAACUCCGCUCUCUUCAGGAUUUCGCAGGACAUGUGAAGUCACAGUACCAUACCUAUGAGGAUGCUUUUAUCAGUAAAGUAAAAGACGAGCUCAAGAAUACGAGGGAACACCCGGGUGCAGCUAUCGGGUUGUCUCUCGCUGCUGGCCUCCUCCUCCUGCGGGGUCCAAGAAAGUUUUUGUUUCGUCAAACGAUUGGCCGAUUACAGAGUGAGGAGGCGCAGUUUAAUAGAGCUGAGAAAACUGUGAAAGAUUUGGACAUCUCUGUUGAUUUGAUGAAGAAUGAGAGCAAGAAACUGCUUGAGAGGACCGCCCUUGCCGAGAAGGACAUGAAACAAGGCCUCACCGAUCUCACGACUGCAGGAAGUCAAAUCCAGCGUCUUGCUAAAUCAGCUUACAAGGUUGAAACCCAAGCUGCAGAGUUGAUGGAUGACUUGCGUGAGAUUCCUGGUAGAGAUGCACUGAAACUACGUGCCGAGGUUGCUUCCAUGUUGUCACAUCUGAAGCGACAGAGACUUGCCCUUGAGAAACGGAUACUGAAGAUCUCUGAGCUAGGAGUUGCUGUUUGAUUGGUAUAACACCUUGGGAUUAUAUUAUCUCAGGGUGGCCGAGACAUUCCUCCUCAACGCCAGUUUUCUCCUUUGCACGGUCUGUUAGAGCCUAGAGAAAUGCGGUGAAAUAGUUGGACAUCACCAUUGAUUUGAUGAAGAACGAUAGGUAGAGCAAGAAUCUGCUCCAGAGGACUGCCAUAGUCGAGAAUGGAUUACCUUUAUCAGAUCCCUGACUGCUACAAGAUCAAGAAGAAAAAUAUCCGGAAAGCAUUGAUUAAAGUCGCCAAACAUUUUGGUGGGAACUCAGUAACUUCAUUUUGGAGGGAGUUGAUGAACAGCCCGCGUGAGAUUCCGGGAAGAGAUGCGUGCUAAAAUCACGAGCUGAGGCAACUUCGGCUAAGCCACGAGAUCCUUCUUAUCUGCUGUCCGGAUUUUCAUUUGUACAUAUAUAUCUCCCGUUUGUUGUUCCUUAUGUUUGGACUAUAUUGAGUUAGAGCUUCAGCUUUCUUUCUCAAUGAAUUGGGCUCAUCAUCUUUCUCCGGUGAAA